UACAUGUGGGGCAAGCGUUGUUCGGAAUUACUGGGCGUAAAGGGCGCGUAGGCGGUUUGUUAAGUCAAACGUGAAAGCCCCGGGCUUAACCUGGGAUGUGCGUUUGAUACUGUCAAGCUAGAGAACGGUAGAGGAAAGUGGAAUUCCUAGUGUAGAGGUGAAAUUCGUAGAUAUUAGGAGGAACACCAGAGGCGAAGGCGGCUUUCUGGACCGAUUCUGACGCUGAGGCGCGAAAGCGUGGGGAGCAAAUGGG
Molecule: ribosomal RNA, 253 nt
Filed under: uncultured bacterium
Lineage: Bacteria
Description: partial 16S ribosomal RNA
Rfam family: Bacterial small subunit ribosomal RNA
Source: RNAcentral